GACGAACGCUGGCGGCGUGCUUAACACAUGCAAGUCGAACGGAAAGGCCCUGCUUUUGUGGGGUGCUCGAGUGGCGAACGGGUGAGUAACACGUGAGUAACCUGCCCUUGACUUUGGGAUAACUUCAGGAAACUGGGGCUAAUACCGGGUAGGAGCUCCUGCUGCAUGGUGGGGGUUGGAAAGUUUCGGCGGUUGGGGAUGGACUCGCGGCUUAUCAGCUUGUUGGGGGGGUAGUGGCUUACCAAGGCUUUGACGGGUAGCCGGCCUGAGAGGGUGACCGGCCACAUUGGGACUGAGAUACGGCCCAGACUCCUACGGGAGGCAGCAGUGGGGAAUAUUGCACAAUGGGCGGAAGCCUGAUGCAGCAACGCCGCGUGCGGGAUGACGGCCGUCGGGUUGUAAACCGCUUUCGCCUGUGACGAAGCGUGAGUGACGGUAAUGGGUAAAGAAGCACCGGCUAACUACGUG
Molecule: ribosomal RNA, 468 nt
Filed under: uncultured bacterium
Lineage: Bacteria
Description: partial 16S ribosomal RNA
Rfam family: Bacterial small subunit ribosomal RNA
Source: RNAcentral